This 464-nucleotide ribosomal RNA is filed under the name uncultured bacterium. RNAcentral describes it as "partial 16S ribosomal RNA". It matches the Rfam family "Bacterial small subunit ribosomal RNA", at positions 339 to 795 of the family's 1533-position model. The record is from RNAcentral.
CUACGGGCCGCUGCAGUGGGGAAUAUUGCACAAUGGGCGCAAGCCUGAUGCAGCCAUGCCGCGUGUGUGAAGAAGGCCUUCGGGUUGUAAAGCACUUUCAGUUGUGAGGAAAGGUUGUAGAUUAAUACUCUGCAGCUGUGACGUUAGCAACAGAAGAAGCACCGGCUAACUCCGUGCCAGCAGCCGCGGUAAUACGGAGGGUGCGAGCGUUAAUCGGAAUUACUGGGCGUAAAGCGCGUGUAGGUGGCUUGUUAAGCCAGAUGUGAAAGCCCCGGGCUCAACCUGGGAACUGCAUUUGGAACUGGCAGGCUAGAGUUUUGUAGAGGGUGGUAGAAUUUCAGGUGUAGCGGUGAAAUGCGUAGAGAUCUGAAGGAAUACCGGUGGCGAAGGCGACCACCUGGCCAAUAACUGACACUGAGACGCGAAGGCGUGGGUAGCAAACGGGAUUAGAUACCCCCGUAGUC